Molecule: ribosomal RNA, 386 nt
Filed under: uncultured bacterium
Lineage: Bacteria
Description: bacterial SSU rRNA
Rfam family: Bacterial small subunit ribosomal RNA
Source: RNAcentral
AUUGAACGCUGGCGGCAUGCCUUACACAUGCAAGUCGAACGGCAGCACGGGAGCAAUCCUGGUGGCGAGUGGCGAACGGGUGAGUAAUAUAUCGGAACGUGCCCAGUCGUGGGGAUAACGUAGCGAAAGCUACGCUAAUACCGCAUACGAUCUAUGGAUGAAAGCGGGGGAUCGCAAGACCUCGCGCGAUUGGAGCGGCCGAUAUCAGAUUAGGUAGUUGGUGAGGUAAAGGCUCACCAAGCCGACGAUCUGUAGCUGGUCUGAGAGGACGACCAGCCACACUGGAACUGAGACACGGUCCAGACUCCUACGGGAGGCAGCAGUGGGGAAUUUUGGGACAAUGGGCGCAAGCCUGAUCCAGCAAUGCCGCGUGCAGGAUGAAGGCC